This 481-nucleotide ribosomal RNA is filed under the name uncultured bacterium. RNAcentral describes it as "partial 16S ribosomal RNA". It matches the Rfam family "Bacterial small subunit ribosomal RNA", at positions 28 to 507 of the family's 1533-position model. The record is from RNAcentral.
GAUGAACGCUGGCGGCGUGCUUAACACAUGCAAGUCGAACGAAGCACUUUAUUUGAUUUCCUUCGGGACUGAUUAUUUUGUGACUGAGUGGCGGACGGGUGAGUAACGCGUGGGUAACCUGCCUUGUACAGGGGGAUAACAGUUGGAAACGGCUGCUAAUACCGCAUAAGCGCACGGCAUCGCAUGAUGCAGUGUGAAAAACUCCGGUGGUAUAAGAUGGACCCGCGUUGGAUUAGCUAGUUGGUGAGGUAACGGCCCACCAAGGCGACGAUCCAUAGCCGACCUGAGAGGGUGACCGGCCACAUUGGGACUGAGACACAGCCCGAACUCCUACGGGAGGCAGCAGUGGGGAAUAUUGCACAAUGGGCGAAAGCCUGAUGCAGCGACGCCGCGUGAGCGAAGAAGUAUUUCGGUAUGUAAAGCUCUAUCAGCAGGGAAGAUAAUGACGGUACCUGACGAAGAAGCACCGGCUAAAUACGUG